GCCAUCAGAUGUCAGAGUUCAGUUGAUUAAUGACAUGGCUGAUAUAGAGUACAGGUUGAGUUUUGGGUGCAAUGAUAAGUUGCAAUUGGGAUCACUCAUUGCUUCUUUCACUAGGGCUCGAUCUGCUCUGGUUGCUGCGGCAAAGUAGUUCUUAAGCUGCUUUUGCUUGUCAUUUCACUUCUUGCUGAUUUCGGCCCGAAACAGUUGAAUGUUUGCUUGUGCAAUCAAGUCAUCCAUGUUUAAGAUUGUAAAGUAAUCAAGUUUGCAAGUUAAA
This 274-nucleotide unclassified non-coding RNA is filed under the name Hevea brasiliensis (rubber tree). Lineage: Eukaryota; Viridiplantae; Streptophyta; Magnoliopsida; Malpighiales; Euphorbiaceae. The record is from RNAcentral.